RNAcentral lists this ribosomal RNA (590 nucleotides) under Gloeodema sp. ARC3527. RNAcentral describes it as "SSU rRNA". It matches the Rfam family "Eukaryotic small subunit ribosomal RNA", at positions 32 to 620 of the family's 1831-position model. Lineage: Eukaryota; Metazoa; Arthropoda; Insecta; Coleoptera; Curculionidae. The record is from RNAcentral.
UUGUCUCAAAGAUUAAGCCAUGCAUGUCUCAGUACAAGCCAAAUUAAGGUGAAACCGCGAAAGGCUCAUUAAAUCAGUUAUGGUUCCUUAGAUCGUACCCACACUUACUUGGAUAACUGUGGUAAUUCUAGAGCUAAUACAUGCAAACAGAGCUCCGACCGGAGACGGAAGGAGUGCUUUUAUUAGAUCAAAACCAAUCGGUGGCGGGUUGGUGACUCUGAAUAACUUUACGCUGAUCGCACGGUCAUCGCACCGGCGACGCAUCUUUCAAAUGUCUGCCUUAUCAACUGUCGAUGGUAGGUUCUGCGCCUACCAUGGUCGUAACGGGUAACGGGGAAUCAGGGUUCGAUUCCGGAGAGGGAGCCUGAGAAACGGCUACCACAUCCAAGGAAGGCAGCAGGCGCGCAAAUUACCCACUCCCGGCACGGGGAGGUAGUGACGAAAAAUAACGAUACGGGACUCAUCCGAGGCCCCGUAAUCGGAAUGAGUACACUCUAAACCCUUUAACGAGGAUCAAUUGGAGGGCAAGUCUGGUGCCAGCAGCCGCGGUAAUUCCAGCUCCAAUAGCGUAUAUUAAAGUUGUUGCGGUU